Molecule: ribosomal RNA, 466 nt
Filed under: uncultured bacterium
Lineage: Bacteria
Description: partial 16S ribosomal RNA
Rfam family: Bacterial small subunit ribosomal RNA
Source: RNAcentral
GAUGAACGCUGGCGGCGUGCUUAACACAUGCAAGUCGAACGAUGAAGCUCAGCUUGCUGGGUGGAUUAGUGGCGAACGGGUGAGUAACACGUGAGUAACCUGCCCUUAACUCUGGGAUAAGCCUGGGAAACUGGGUCUAAUACCGGAUAGGAGCGUCCACCGCAUGGUGGGUGUUGGAAAGAUUUAUCGGUUUUGGAUGGACUCGCGGCCUAUCAGCUUGUUGGUGAGGUAAUGGCUCACCAAGGCGACGACGGGUAGCCGGCCUGAGAGGGUGACCGGCCACACUGGGACUGAGACACGGCCCAGACUCCUACGGGAGGCAGCAGUGGGGAAUAUUGCACAAUGGGCGCAAGCCUGAUGCAGCGACGCCGCGUUAGGGAUGACGGCCUUCGGGUUGUAAACCUCUUUCAGUAGGGAAGAAGCGAAAGUGACGGUACCUGCAGAAGAAGCACCGGCUAACUACGUG